GAACGCAUCUUGCGCUCCUUGGUAUUCCUAGGAGCAUGCCUGUUUGAGUGUCAUUAAACUUAACUCUAGCAGUUUUGCUUGGAUAUGAAGGAAGAGCAAGCACAUUGUAGGCUCUCCUUUGAAAUGCAUUAGUAGAUAUAAAGUUGUGAAUUACACUUGUUUUGAUGUAAUAGUCUUUAUUAGUUGUGAUUUGUAUACAGUUAUAUCUUGCUUUAACAAUUGUUUUUUUCUGGGCAGUUGAUUAUAAGAGUCAUAUGAAUCUUAUUUUAAAACACCUGCAAAAAAAUAUAAUUUUAUAGUUGACCUCAAAUCAGGUAGGGAUACCCGCUGAACUUAAG
RNAcentral lists this unclassified non-coding RNA (338 nucleotides) under uncultured Trichophaea. Its description in RNAcentral is "sequence contains 5.8S rRNA gene". The stretch from base 1 to 53 matches the Rfam family "5.8S ribosomal RNA", at positions 102 to 154 of the family's 154-position model. Lineage: Eukaryota; Fungi; Ascomycota; Pezizomycetes; Pezizales; Pyronemataceae. The record is from RNAcentral.